RNAcentral lists this ribosomal RNA (479 nucleotides) under uncultured soil bacterium. RNAcentral describes it as "bacterial SSU rRNA". It matches the Rfam family "Bacterial small subunit ribosomal RNA", at positions 26 to 518 of the family's 1533-position model. The record is from RNAcentral.
AGGACGAACGCUGGCGGCGUGCUUAACACAUGCAAGUCGAGCGGUAAGGCCCUUUCGGGGGUACACGAGCGGCGAACGGGUGAGUAACACGUGAGCAAUCUGCCCUUCACUUCGGGAUAAGCCUCGGAAACGGGGUCUAAUACCGGAUAUGACUGCGCCAUGCACGUGGUGUGGUGGAAAGUUCUGGCGGUGAGGGAUGAGCUCACGGCCUAUCAGCUUGUUGGUGGGGUAAUGGCCUACCAAGGCUUCGACGGGUAGCCGGCCUGAGAGGGUGACCGGCCACACUGGGACUGAGACACGGCCCAGACUCCUACGGGAGGCAGCAGUGGGGAAUAUUGGACAAUGGGCGAAAGCCUGAUCCAGCAACGCGCGUGAGGAUGACGGCCUUCGGGUUGUAAACCUCUUUCGAGCGCCGACGAAGCGAGAGUGACGGUAGGCGCAGAAGAAGCGACCGGCCAACGUACGUCGCCAGCAGCCGC